This is a non-coding RNA of Pangasius djambal, 72 nucleotides long. NCBI's taxonomy places the organism in Eukaryota, Metazoa, Chordata, Actinopteri, Siluriformes, Pangasiidae. The record is from the annotation of a GenBank genome assembly.
UGUUUGGAGGACUAGUGGUUAGGCCUCAGCGCUGUCACCACCGCUGCCUGGGUUCGAUUCCCAGCCUGGAAA